RNAcentral lists this ribosomal RNA (495 nucleotides) under uncultured bacterium. RNAcentral's name for it is "partial 16S ribosomal RNA". It matches the Rfam family "Bacterial small subunit ribosomal RNA", at positions 28 to 507 of the family's 1533-position model. The record is from RNAcentral.
GACGAACGCUGGCGGCGUGCCUAAUACAUGCAAGUAGAACGCUGAAGGAGGAGCUUGCUUCUCUGGAUGAGUUGCGAACGGGUGAGUAACGCGUAGGUAACCUGCCUGGUAGCGGGGGAUAACUAUUGGAAACGAUAGCUAAUACCGCAUAAGAGUAGAUGUUGCAUGACAUUUGCUUAAAAGUUGCAAUUGCAUCACUACCAGAUGGACCUGCGUUGUAUUAGCUAGUUGGUGGGGUAACGGCUCACCAAGGCGAAGAUACAUAUCCGACCUGAGAGGGUGAUCGGCCACACUGGGAAUGAGACACGGCCCAGACUCCUACGGGAGGCAGCAGGAGGGAAUCUUCGGAAAUGGACGGAAGUCUGACCGAGCAACGCCGCGUGAGUGAAGAAGGUUUUCGGAUCGUAAAGCUCUGUUGUAAGAGAAGAACGAGUGUGAGAGUGGAAAGUUCACACUGUGACGGUAUCUUACCAGAAAGGGACGGCUAACUACGUG